This 494-nucleotide ribosomal RNA is filed under the name uncultured bacterium. RNAcentral's name for it is "partial 16S ribosomal RNA". It matches the Rfam family "Bacterial small subunit ribosomal RNA", at positions 28 to 507 of the family's 1533-position model. The record is from RNAcentral.
GACGAACGCUGGCGGCGCGCUUAACACAUGCAAGUCGAACGGAAAGGCCUGCUUUCCCUUGUGGAUUGCGGGUACUCGAGUGGCGAACGGGUGAGUAACACGUGAGUGAUCUGCCCCCAACUUGGGUAUAAGCCUGGGAAACUGGGUCUAAUUCCCGAUAGGACUGCAGGGUGGUGCCUGUUGUGGAAAACGAUUUUCUAGUGGCUGGGGAUGAGCUCGCUGCCUAUCAGCUUGUGGGUGGGGUCAUGGCCGACCAAGGCGGCGACGGGUAGCCGGCCGAGGAGCGGGGACAGGCGGACUGGGACUGGGACAAGGCCCCGACUGGUGCGGGAAGCAGGAGUUGUGAAAAAUGGACCAUAGGCCGAAGCCUGAUGCAGCGAGGGCGGGUGGGGGAUGACGGGCUUCGGGUUGUAAACUGCUUUCGACCGCGAGGAAGCCACCUGGUUGGAAGGGUGGUGACGGUAGUGGUAGAAGAAGCACCGGCUAACUACGUG